GACGAACGCUGGCGGCGUGCUUAACACAUGCAAGUCGAACGGUGAAGCGCCUUCCUUUUUGGUGGGUGUGGAUGAGUGGCGAACGGGUGAGUAACACGUGAGUAACCUGCCCCCUUCUUCUGGAUAACCGCAUGAAAGUGUGGCUAAUACGGGAUAUUCUGGGUCUGUCGCAUGAUGGGUCUGGGAAAGAUAUUGUUUCGGUGGGGGAUGGGCUCGCGGCCUAUCAGCUUGUUGGUGGGGUGAUGGCCUACCAAGGCGGUGACGGGUAGCCGGCCUGAGAGGGUGGACGGUCACACUGGGACUGAGACACGGCCCAGACUCCUACGGGGGGCAGCAGUGGGGAAUAUUGCACAAUGGGCGAAAGCCUGAUGCAGCGACGCCGCGUGAGGGAUGGAGGCCUGCGGGUUGUGAACCUCUUUCGCCAGUGAAGCAGGCCUGCCUCGUUUGUGGGUGGGUUGACGGUAGCUGGAUAAGAAGCGCCGGCUAACUACGUG
This 494-nucleotide ribosomal RNA is filed under the name uncultured bacterium. RNAcentral's name for it is "partial 16S ribosomal RNA". It matches the Rfam family "Bacterial small subunit ribosomal RNA", at positions 28 to 507 of the family's 1533-position model. The record is from RNAcentral.